Molecule: long non-coding RNA, 1858 nt
Organism: Vespula vulgaris
Lineage: Eukaryota; Metazoa; Arthropoda; Insecta; Hymenoptera; Vespidae
Exons: 3
Source: RefSeq, a predicted model, not a curated record
GUCUAUUGCCAGCGUUCGUUGUAGAAAGUACUACGUAAAUUGAUCAGAGAGAAAGCUGUUGACUCUGAAGACUAAGGAAGAGAGAAGAGAACGUGGUAUCCUGUAAAGUUUCCUACGAUAACAAGAUCCCUUGUCUUUCGAAAUGCAACGCAUCAUUUUACGAUACUUUCGCGAGAGAGAUUAAUAUCAUACGCGAAAGAAGAUGGAUCUCGUUGAUUGAAACUACAGUUGGUAUACUAUGUUCCAUUUCUUUUCGAUCGACGAAGAUUCACAUAUAUUCAGUGCCAACAGCAGAAAGUUCGAGACGAGUUUUGGGAGAAAAUUAGUUUAUGGAACGAUGUAGAGAGAGAGUGAGAGAGUGAGAGAGAGAGAGAGAGAGAGAGAGAGAGAGAGAGAGAGAGAAAGAGAGAGAGAGAGGAAAAUAACAAAAAUGACAACAAGUCGAUGUUAGUUAUGAAAACAUUAAUUUCCACGUCAUUGCGUUCCAACCAACGUCGAGGGACCUUGAAAAGAGAAAUUCUUUGACCGUCAUCUCGUGGGUGAAUACAAAACGGGCAAGAGUUCUUUGUACUUCUAGAAAUAGCUUAAAUAUGUGUGUGUGUAAAUGCAAGCGUGUGUAUGUAGUACCUGUUGCCAUCUUAUAAUCGCUAUUGAAACGAUGUACUUUGAGUGUCGUGAAAAUGGUACUUCAUCUUACAGUUUCAUUACUUAUUUAUAAAUUUGUUAAAGAUUUAUCGAUAUGUUUAAGGAGGUAAAGCGUGAAGAGUAAUCGUGAUUGAAUUCGUUCGAGGGGCUAAACAACAAAGAACGUUCUAUUGACGUUUAUUUCGAAAUGUAAAUGACGUUACUUAUAUGUCUACUUUUCUGGUCCGUUGCUUUUUAUGAUUCGAUUAAUGCGAAAUUGUUUAAGAAUUAGAAGAAAAAAUGAAAAAAAAAAAUAAGAGCAACGACAAGAAAGAGAAUUUUUUAUUUCCUAUACAGUUCUAUUUAUUCGUUCAGUAUUUUUAUUAAUUAAUUGCGAGUAUUUCAUGAAAUAUGUAAAUAAUUAUUAUACAUAUAUAUAUAUAUGUUUUGAUCAGUAUAUGUACAUAAAUAUUUUGAUAUUUAGUAUAAAUAAUUAAACGUUGAGUCAUUUUUAACGUUAGUUGUAUUACGUAGAAUUAUAUUUCGUUAAACAUAGCGAUCAAAAAUUUGUUUGAAAUAUUAAGAAAAUAUCAAACAAAAAUACUCGUUCGAAUAAAUAGAAAACAAUAUUUCUCUUAUAUCUCGAGAAUAGAAUAGUUUUUAUUAAAAAUCGUAUCCUAGAGAAAUUUCAAAGGCAAUUUAAAGACUUCUCAUCCAUGAGAGAAAAACGAAUGUAACUAUGAAAUUCGUUCGUAUUUUUUCGAGAUUCAUCCAAUCGUAUCUAUCAUUAGAAUUCCUAAAUAAUCAAGGACAAGACCUUAGUAGUAAUUUUAUCAAAUUGGCAACGAUCGUACGGCUCGACAAUUUCGUUGAAAAAAAGAGAAACAUAAGUCUCGUUUCAUUAAUCCAAGGGACUAUGUUGAGACGAUAGUCCAGACCAACUACGUUGGAUGGGUGGGUGGACGAAGGGGUGGAGAAAGAGGAAGAGAAGAAGGGAAGUAGGGUCGUAACAGAGCAACAGGAAAAUCAGCCCCAUUUACAUCAGAAUCUCUUCCAUUUCUUCGGUGACUCUCGACAUCCAAUUAUCUGUACACACGCUACCAACCCGGAAACUCGAGCAUUCUCGAGUCAAUUCUACAGAAGACCACCAUCGCUGUGUAGCGAUUUUACGAGAAAGCGAGAGAUAGAUAGAUAGAUAGAGAUAGAGAGAGAGAGAGAGGGUGAGAGAGUGAGA